CCAACUUUGAAUCUGCAGUCAAACAAUAUAUGCUCUCUCCUAAAGAGGCCUGUAUUAUGCUUAAAAUGUGGGCACCAAGCAGCAUUGCAUGCAGAUUAAAUUCCCCCAUAAAUGGGCCCAUUAAUCGGGAUCAAGACUGGUUCAAAGAAGACAAAUGGGGGACAGAAGGAGACAGGCUUAGAGCAAUCUCCAAAUUGAUUACUGGAGAAAGAGAUUUAGACAGUCAUUCACUCGCUGAAAUGAAGGUACACUUACAGGAUGAUCC
This is a non-coding RNA of Pelobates cultripes (western spadefoot toad), 265 nucleotides long. Lineage: Eukaryota; Metazoa; Chordata; Amphibia; Anura; Pelobatidae. The record is from the annotation of a GenBank genome assembly.